GGGUUGGUGGUGUAAUAGUUAUCGCUUCUGCUUUACGAGCAGAAGGUCAUAGAUUCAAUCCCGGCCCG
Molecule: transfer RNA, 68 nt
Filed under: Aedes aegypti (yellow fever mosquito)
Lineage: Eukaryota; Metazoa; Arthropoda; Insecta; Diptera; Culicidae
Rfam family: tRNA
About the family: Transfer RNA (tRNA) molecules are approximately 80 nucleotides in length. Their secondary structure includes four short double-helical elements and three loops (D, anti-codon, and T loops). Further hydrogen bonds mediate the characteristic L-shaped molecular structure. tRNAs have two regions of fundamental functional importance: the anti-codon, which is responsible for specific mRNA codon recognition, and the 3' end, to which the tRNAs corresponding amino acid is attached (by aminoacyl-tRNA synthetases). tRNAs cope with the degeneracy of the genetic code in two manners: having more than one tRNA (with a specific anti-codon) for a particular amino acid; and 'wobble' base-pairing, i.e. permitting non-standard base-pairing at the 3rd anti-codon position.
Source: Rfam by way of RNAcentral